RNAcentral lists this transfer RNA (71 nucleotides) under Stegodyphus mimosarum. It matches the Rfam family "tRNA". From Rfam's summary of the family: Transfer RNA (tRNA) molecules are approximately 80 nucleotides in length. Their secondary structure includes four short double-helical elements and three loops (D, anti-codon, and T loops). The record is from Rfam by way of RNAcentral. Lineage: Eukaryota; Metazoa; Arthropoda; Arachnida; Araneae; Eresidae.
GUCUUCGUGGUAUAAUGGUAGCACAUUUGGCGCGUAUUCAGGAAGGCCAGGUUCGAGUCCCGGCGAGGGCA